UAAUUUUCUCUAGAGUGACCAUGUCAUCAGAAGAUAAGGUUCAGCCACCAACUUUUGAAGGCCCCAUGAGAAACAAUUUCGAAGAACCAGGAGUUCCAGCCCUGGGAGGUCAUAACUGAAUGGUGUAUCUCCCAAGGCAUACCUCAAUAAGCCAUCUGCUUGCUCCUCUCCAUCUGAGUCUGUUUCCAGAAAAACUAGUCGAAGGUACAUCCCUGGAGCUGAAGGGCUGAAGAAGAUGGCGCCUGGAGUAGGGGCUGCAUGCAGGAACUAGAGGUGUGGGAAAUGCAGCUACCACCAGAAAUAUGGGGCCAAAGCAGAGAAAGAGGAGAUACCCAAACUUCUAUUACGUCCGACUCUCGAACACCCUUCCAUUGUCUCUCAAUGGACAAACUAAUUGGAAACCAGCCAGCAGGGGAAUCUGGAUAAUGAGUGAGUCCCCAUAGCAUAGAGGAGAGGGCAGGCAUGGAAUGCCAAGGCAGCCAAGCCCAAAUCCAAAUCCAAGCUGUAUGAGCUCUGCAUGCUUCCAUUUUCUCACCAGUAAAGUGGGGAUAACAGUACUGACUACAUCACAACGCUGCUGGGAAAAUAGGAAAUAAUGCAUGCCUAGCACUUUCCGGAGGAUCUGGUACACAGGUGUGCUGAAUAAAUAUCACUUGUUACAGUCA
This is a long non-coding RNA of Myotis davidii, 665 nucleotides long. RefSeq lists it as uncharacterized. Lineage: Eukaryota; Metazoa; Chordata; Mammalia; Chiroptera; Vespertilionidae. The record is from RefSeq and is a predicted model, not a curated record. The transcript has 3 exons.